This 211-nucleotide unclassified non-coding RNA is filed under the name plant metagenome. RNAcentral's name for it is "partial contains small subunit ribosomal RNA, internal transcribed spacer 1, and 5.8S ribosomal RNA". The record is from RNAcentral.
UUUCCGUAGGUGAACCUGCGGAAGGAUCAUUCAUAAUAAAGUGUUUUAUGGCACUUUUUAAAAAUCCAUAUCCACCUUGUGUGCGAUGUUAGAUCUCGUCAAUCUUGGCGAGAUUUUUAUACAUCAACUCAUUUUUUAACUAAUUUGUCUGAAAAAUAUUAUGAAUACUUAAUUCAAAAUACAACUUUCAACAACGGAUCUCUUGGCUCUC